AGUGGGAUUGGAAUUUGAACCCAAGAAUGGGCUCUUGACAAUUAGCCCAUAGUAAAAAAAAUUGAAAGCUCACAACUUUCACUACUUUUGCUGCUUCUUGUGAGCUUUUCCAGCAAACAAUUUGAAAUGUGCAACAAAAAAUGGCGGCAAACUACGAGCGUUUGUAACGUUUCGGCAAUCUCUAUCCACAAAUGAUAGCAAAAUUAGCCCAAUUUGGGAAAUUAGGGUUUCUGGAAUCCCCAGAAACCUCUUUCUUCCUCCACCUCUUUGUGUAGAGGAUCCAGGAAAUAGAGAUGCUGGCCAUAGCCUUGAGAGCUGUAAAAAAGUAUUCAUCUCCAAUCUCUCCCAUGGGCAGUCAGUGAUUGUGCAGUCAUAAUGUUAAGAGAUGGUUGAUAUUAUAUGCUGUAGUGCAUGCUAUCUGAGACAUUACGAGUUGUUACACUUGCCAGGUAUUUUAAGCAACUACAAUUGUCUAAAGGCCUUGUGUUGUAAUCCAAGACUUUGAAUGUCUGAAUGGGUGGGUACUUUUAUCUUGAAACAAACUGACACUGUUGUCCAUCUCACGGCUGGGUACUGAGUACAUGCUUCUGCCAAUAAAAUGGACUGUCAAUAACUUGUGGGUAUUGAGAUGGGCAUUUUUUGAGUUUAGGAUGCCCUUGUAUUGCCUACAUACAGUCGCAAUUUGUAGACCCCCCUCCGUCAACCUAAAUAUGGUCAUGAAAUUGUAGACAGUGUCUCCUCAAUUGCUAAGAGUCCUCGUCAUCAGCAGCACUAUUGAAUUUAUACAAGUUCUAGCCAUUUUUUGAGUUUAGGAUGCCCUUGUAUUGCCUACAUACAGUCGCAAUUUGUAGACCCCCCUCCGUCAACCUAAAUAUGGUCAUGAAAUUGUAGACAGUGUCUCCUCAAUUGCUAAGAGUCCUCGUCAUCAGCAGCACUAUUGAAUUUAUACAAGUUCUAGCCAUUUUUUGUGUGGGGGAUUCUAGUUCCAAGGCCAGUAGUUUAAAUAUGAUAAGCAGCAUAUGUUUUUCUUGUUGGAGUAAUCACAUUUACAGUGCGUAAACAUGACUAAUUGUAUUGUAGUAUGUUUUGGAGCUAUCUUUCCUUGUGAUUUUUACUUGCCUACCUUAAAGAUGAAGAAACAUCUUUGAUAGCUGUUAAGAAGAACUAAAAUGGGUGGACUUUACGCUGUCAUUUAUAGGCUUCAUGAUGAAUGGCAUUGCACUCUUCAACCCUUUCUCAAUGAAAAGUCAAAUAUUUUUGUUGCAAUUUUCAUAAAAACCAUGGGUGGCUUUACUACAGCAAUGAUAUGUAUAUAGCUCUUUUUAUUUUUCUUACAAGUCUGAUAAUUGGGCAUUUGAAACUCUUAUUGGCUUAGCAAGUUUAGUUAAACUGCCUUAUCUAGCAGCUAAAUUUCUGCACCUUGCCUGCUUGCUGCUGCAAUGUAUCGAGGAUCUAACACUUCAUUUGUGGCAUACUAAUUCGCUUCAAUUCUGUAUCCAGAAUCAAUAUAUCGGGUUGCCCUUUUUCCUAGAGAUAAGCUGAUGAGUUUUGUACAUCUUUCUAUAUCUGUCUUAUUGUGAAAGGAAUAAAUAAAAAUAGCAUCUUUCAUAAAUUAUAUGUCUGAAUUUGUUGCCCUUCUGCUUUAUUAUCUUCAACAAGUACGACAACGACUUUACUGUUUCGUCUUGAGUGUACAGUUCAGUCUCCUUUGUCAUUUUGUUUUGCUUGCUGAUUUGCUGAAUCAUUAGAU
Chenopodium quinoa (quinoa) is the source of this 1750-nucleotide long non-coding RNA. RefSeq lists it as uncharacterized. The record is from RefSeq and is a predicted model, not a curated record. Lineage: Eukaryota; Viridiplantae; Streptophyta; Magnoliopsida; Caryophyllales; Amaranthaceae. The transcript is spliced from 3 exons.